AGAGUUUGAUCCUGGCUCAGGAUGAACGCUGGCGGCGUGCUUAACACAUGCAAGUCGAACGGUGAAGCCCAGCUUGCUGGGUGGAUCAGUGGCGAACGGGUGAGUAACACGUGAGCAACCUGCCCCUGACUCUGGGAUAAGCGCUGGAAACGGCGUCUAAUACUGGAUACGAGCAACGGCCGCAUGGCCAGUUGUUGGAAAGAAUUUUGGUUGGGGAUGGGCUCGCGGCCUAUCAGCUUGUUGGUGAGGUAAUGGCUCACCAAGGCGUCGACGGGUAGCCGGCCUGAGAGGGUGACCGGCCACACUGGGACUGAGACACGGCCCAGACUCCUACGGGAGGCAGCAGUGGGGAAUAUUGCACAAUGGGCGGAAGCCUGAUGCAGCAACGCCGCGUGAGGGAUGACGGCCUUCGGGUUGUAAACCUCUUUUAGCAGGGAAGAAGCGAAAGUGACGGUACCUGCAGAAAAAGCGCCGGCUAACUACGUGCCAGCAGCCGCGGUAAU
Molecule: ribosomal RNA, 503 nt
Filed under: Microbacterium sp. IV0_M
Lineage: Bacteria; Bacillati; Actinomycetota; Actinomycetes; Micrococcales; Microbacteriaceae
Description: bacterial SSU rRNA
Rfam family: Bacterial small subunit ribosomal RNA
Source: RNAcentral